CUUUAAGUCCUCCGGUGGAGAGCUUUACUCCUCGAUCUUAGCCUUCUUUCUCUGCUCUGUGGCAAAAGAGAAGGAAAAUAAUUGCUCCGGUAUCAGAUACGAAAUAUUCCUUCCUCGCAUGACCUGUCCAACGGAAAAAGCUCAAUACCGAAAGAUAAAAGGUUGUGGUCAGCACGAAGAGAACCACUCGACGGAGCCAUCCUUCUCAGAAACAUUUCGUCGAACACCCGUCCGACACUCGAUCAUGGUCUUCAUGCGUCGGAUUAGGCAAAAUGUCACUGACACACGAUCAUCAUACCCAAAAUUAAAAUAAUCGUUAUCCAGUACCAUAUGUUAUCAAUGGCCGUCGCCCUCCAUCAGCAACCCCAACAUCCAUUACCCAUUGCUGCUGCAAUCGUCCCAUUCCUUCCUUCACCGUCGCUGUCGCUUCAUUAUUGCUUCCCGUCAUCGCUAGUCUUGGAUUUAAUACCGUUCAUCGCCGACAGGUCCCAUCCAUCAUUUCAGACCAUUCACCGUCCACCUUCCGAACCCAUCGUCCUGGCUAACCCGUUGAUCCACUUCUAUUCGCAUCCGUGAAUUAUC
Molecule: long non-coding RNA, 582 nt
Filed under: Musa acuminata (dwarf banana)
Lineage: Eukaryota; Viridiplantae; Streptophyta; Magnoliopsida; Zingiberales; Musaceae
Description: long non-coding RNA (MACU_LNC000052)
Source: RNAcentral